RNAcentral lists this ribosomal RNA (360 nucleotides) under Triticum aestivum (bread wheat). RNAcentral describes it as "partial small subunit ribosomal RNA". Lineage: Eukaryota; Viridiplantae; Streptophyta; Magnoliopsida; Poales; Poaceae. The record is from RNAcentral.
AUGGACGCAUCUACAUCUCCUACAACACCACUUGGACCUAUGACUCGAGCAUGUGCAAGAGCUCUCGAAACCGAGGUGACAUCACUCCUCUCACAACUCCCUUUCGAUUCACACGAGACAUGGCUACUACCUCAAACGGAGACGCUUUGCAUACUCAGGUACCAUGGAGAAGCUAGGAAGCAAGGAGAACCGGAAGCGGAAGACAUGCGUGAAGAUGAAGAGGAGAAGCACCAAGUCCCAGGCUGGCCGGACGAUCCGGACGAGGGCCCGGACGAUCCGGACAGAGCCCGGACGAUCCGGAUGAAGGAAAUAUGCCCUAGAGGCAAUAAUAAAGUUAUUAUUUAUUUCCUUAUAUCAUGA